UGGGGAAUAUUGCGCAAUGGGCGAAAGCCUGACGCAGCGACGCCUCGUGAGGGAUGAAGGUCUUCGGAUCGUAAACCUCUGUCAAGAGGGAAGAAACCCUUGGAUUCGAAUAGGGUCCUUGGCUGACGGUACCUCAAAAGGAAGCACCGGCUAACUCCGUGCCAGCAGCCGCGGUAAUACGGAGGGUGCAAGCGUUAAUCGGAAUCACUGGGCGUAAAGCGCUCGUAGGCGGUUUGGUCAGUCAGAUGUGAAAGCCCUCGGCUUAACCGGGGAACUGCAUUUGAUACUGCCAGACUUGAGUGUCGGAGAGGGUGGCGGAAUUCCGGGUGUAGGAGUGAAAUCCGUAGAUAUCCGGAGGAACACCAGUGGCGAAGGCGGCCACCUGGACGACAACUGACGCUGAGGAGCGAAAGCGUGGGGAGCAAACAGG
This 430-nucleotide ribosomal RNA is filed under the name uncultured bacterium. Its description in RNAcentral is "bacterial SSU rRNA". It matches the Rfam family "Bacterial small subunit ribosomal RNA", at positions 355 to 776 of the family's 1533-position model. The record is from RNAcentral.